This 761-nucleotide ribosomal RNA is filed under the name uncultured Prevotella sp. Its description in RNAcentral is "bacterial SSU rRNA". It matches the Rfam family "Bacterial small subunit ribosomal RNA", at positions 28 to 776 of the family's 1533-position model. The record is from RNAcentral. Lineage: Bacteria; Pseudomonadati; Bacteroidota; Bacteroidia; Bacteroidales; Prevotellaceae.
GAUGAACGCUGGCUACAGGCUUAACACAUGCAAGUCGAGGGGAAACGGCGUUGAGUGCUUGCACUGAAUGGACGUCGACCGGCGCACGGGUGAGUAACGCGUAUCCAACCUUCCCGUUACUGCGGGAUAACCUGCCGAAAGGCAGACUAAUACCGCAUGUUCUUCGAUGACGGCAUCAGAUUCGAAGCAAAGACUCGUCGGUAACGGAGGGGGAUGCGUCUGAUUAGCUUGUUGGCGGGGCGACGGCCCACCAAGGCGACGAUCAGUAGGGGUUCUGAGAGGAAGGUCCCCCACAUUGGAACUGAGACACGGUCCAAACUCCUACGGGAGGCAGCAGUGAGGAAUAUUGGUCAAUGGGCGAGAGCCUGAACCAGCCAAGUAGCGUGCAGGAUGACGGCCCUAUGGGUUGUAAACUGCUUUUAUGCGGGGAUAAAGUGAGGGACGUGUCCUUCAUUGCAGGUACCGCAUGAAUAAGGACCGGCUAAUUCCGUGCCAGCAGCCGCGGUAAUACGGAAGGUCCGGGCGUUAUCCGGAUUUAUUGGGUUUAAAGGGAGCGUAGGCCGUGGAUUAAGCGUGUUGUGAAAUGCAGGUGCUCAACGUCUGCACUGCAGCGCGAACUGGUUCACUUGAGUGUGCGCAACGCAUGCGGAAUUCGUCGUGUAGCGGUGAAAUGCUUAGAUAUGACGAAGAACUCCGAUUGCGAAGGCAGCUUGCGGGAGCACAACUGACGCUGAAGCUCGAAAGUGCGGGUAUCGAACAGG